This 521-nucleotide ribosomal RNA is filed under the name uncultured bacterium. RNAcentral's name for it is "bacterial SSU rRNA". It matches the Rfam family "Archaeal small subunit ribosomal RNA", at positions 345 to 866 of the family's 1478-position model. The record is from RNAcentral.
AACCUCCGCAAUGUGAGAAAUCGCGACGGGGGGAUCCCAAGUGCCAUUCUUAACGGGAUGGCUUUUCAUUAGUGUAAAGAGCUUUUGGAAUAAGGGCUGGGCAAGACCGGUGCCAGCCGCCGCGGUAACACCGGCAGCUCUAGUGGUAGCAGUUUUUAUUGGGCCUAAAGCGUCCGUAGCCGGUUUAAUAAGUCUCUGGUGAAAUCCUGUAGCUUAACUGUGGGAAUUGCUGGAGAUACUAUUAGACUUGAGACCGGGAGAGGUUAGAGGUACUCCCAGGGUAGAGGUGAAAUUCUGUAAUCCUGGGAGGACCGCCUGUUGCGAAGGCGUCUAACUGGAACGGUUCUGACGGUGAGGGACGAAAGUUAGGGGCGCGAACCGGAUUAGAUACCCGGGUAGUCCUAACUGUAAACGAUGCGGACUUGGUGUUGGGGUGGCUUUGAGCUGCUCCAGUGCCGAAGGGAAGCUGUUAAGUCCGCCGCCUGGGAAGUACGGUCGCAAGACUGAAACUUAAAAGGAUU